Molecule: ribosomal RNA, 492 nt
Filed under: uncultured bacterium
Lineage: Bacteria
Description: bacterial SSU rRNA
Rfam family: Bacterial small subunit ribosomal RNA
Source: RNAcentral
ACUGAAUAGAUACCCGGGUAGUCCACGCUGUAAACGAUGAUUACUCGAUGUUGGCGAUACACAGUCAGCGUCUGAGCGAAAGCAAUAAGUAAUCCACCUGGGGAGUACGAUCGCAAGAUUGAAACUCAAAGGAAUUGACGGGGGCCCGCACAAGCGGAGGAGCAUGUGGUUUAAUUCGAUGAUACGCGAGGAACCUUACCUGGGCUCGAACGUAAGAUGACUGUAGGUGAAAGCUUACAUCUCUUCGGAGCAUUUUACGAGGUGCUGCAUGGUUGUCGUCAGCUCGUGCCGUGAGGUGUCGGGUUAAGUCCCAUAACGAGCGCAACCCCUACCUUUAGUUGCCAACAGGUCAUGCUGGGGACUCUAAAGGAACUGCCUACGCAAGUAGUGAGGAAGGCGGGGAUGACGUCAAAUCAGCACGGCCCUUACGUCCAGGGCUACACACGUGCUACAAUGGCCGAUACAGAGGGCAGCUACCUGGUGACAGGAUGC